Non-coding RNA from Acanthosepion pharaonis, 98 nucleotides. The record is from the annotation of a GenBank genome assembly. NCBI's taxonomy places the organism in Eukaryota, Metazoa, Mollusca, Cephalopoda, Sepiida, Sepiidae.
GCUGAAACACCGGUUCUCGUUCGAUCACCGAAGUUAAGCAUCGUAGAGCCAGGUCAGUACUUAGAUGGGGACCGCUUGGGAACACCUGGUACUGUAAG